UUUGUGUUUCAAGUCAUGUCAUCAUUAGAGAAAUAUUUUCUACUGUUAACGCAUAACUUUAAAUAGAAUUAGAGACUGAGUCUAACAAUUACAACCGCUGGAGGAGCUUUCUGAUAUUGAUGCUGACCAACAACUGAGGAAAGUGAUGUUCCACAUGCUCAGAUAUUUGCAGUCUCUAUUUCCACUUCAUUUAAAAGGAAGAGGAUAAAUCCAUCAGGAUUCUGGAAAUGCAUGCAAACCACACUGUCCAUUCCUCCAUCAAGCCUCCGACUAUCAGAUCUUAGUUUCACUUUGGAGGGUGCUACGCUCGGUAGAAGGCACCUGGCAGCCGCCACAGGACUACAGCUGUGAGCCUCCUUUAACUGGGUCAGGUGUGCUUUGAGAACAGCGGGAAUUCACUCAUUAACAAGAGGAGGACAUGAAGGAUUGACCUCCUUGACCCCAAUACCUCUGACCAGACCCCACCUCUAGCACUGGAGAUUACGUUUCAACAUGAGAUUUGGAGGGAACAAACGUCCAAACCGUAUCAGGUAUUUUUCCUUGACUUGCAGUAGCACAUCCCAUUUACCUUGAGUUGUGAAAGUGUUCUCCUGAGAGGAGUUGUCCAGAAGAGACUGGCCUCUGCAUCAGUAGACUGAGUAAGGAAGACCGUCCCUCAUCCCAUGUGGAUGUUUUCCGUUAAUCCUGGAGUGGACAAAAGGUAGAGGAGAGACGAAUUCUCUCUUUCUUCUGGAGCGGGGACACCCAUCUUCUCGUGCCCUUGGGCAUCAGAACUCCAGGCUCUCUGGCCUCUUUGGACUUGGGAAUUUGUAUCAGCAGCACCUCAAGUUCGUAGGCCUCCAGACUGAGGUUGAGAUGUGCACCAUCUGUUCUCCCGGUCCUCAUGCCUUUGGUCCUGGAUUGAGCCACGCCACUGGCUUCCGUUUCUCCAGCUUCCAGUCAGCCUAGCGUGGGAUUUCUCAGCCUCCAUCAUUGUGUGAGUUUCCCUAAUAACUCCUCUCUUAUCUAUCUAUGUAUCUCCUAUUGAUGCUGUUCUGGGGAACUCAUAAAGAUCCAUUUUACAGUUAGUCAUACAAUGUCACUGAGCUUCAAUUCCCUUGGGAAAAUCAUGGGCUAUUUUUAUCCACUUUAUAAUGUGGUUGAUUGAAUGAGGUAAUGUAUAACAAACACAAGCAUAUUUCAGGUGCUCUGUACAUGAAGUCAUCCUUUUGUUGGAAAAUGAGUUUGUCAUUAGGAAACCAAGCGACUGCAUCCCCAGUUGACUCUGUGGACUGAAUGAAUCAGCAGACUUCUUUGACACUCAGUUUACUUAGUUGUAAAAUUGCCUAUGUAAUAAUACCUUCCUCUAAAACUAUAGUCAGGAUAUAAUUAAACAAACCAAUAUGCGCCCAAGAAUCUUGUCCAUAGUUAAACUUAUAUUACUUUGUAGCAACUUGUCAUUUUCACCAUGCAUGCUUACUUCUAGACAUUAUAGAUCUGAGGUGUCUGUUGCUGAAAACCUGGCCCUCCUAACAGAUGCACGACCUGUUUGCAUUUGCUGUGGCUGAGCUGCUUCAGAGCUCCAGCUUCUACGCUAUGCUACCUACCUGACAGUCAGGUAUAGUAAGAAUGGUCUAUACAAAGCAAUGGCGGCGAGUUAGAUUCUAAAAGGGAUUUGUUGUGAUUGCAUUGUUGGUUUUUAAUAAGCUUUCAAAAUAUUUUCUUGGAUAGUUUUUAGAUGUAUUUUUUCCAAACUUGCCAAAAAGAUUGAGCUGUGAAUUUACGAUUUGACAAAGUAUUGCACUAACAAAUGUAAUGUGGCCGGGCGCAGUGGCUCAAGCCUGUAAUCCCAGCACUUUGGGAGGCCGAGUUGGGCGGAUCACGAGGUCAGGAGAUCGAGACCAUCC
Long non-coding RNA from Chlorocebus sabaeus (green monkey), 1886 nucleotides. RefSeq lists it as uncharacterized. The record is from RefSeq and is a predicted model, not a curated record. Lineage: Eukaryota; Metazoa; Chordata; Mammalia; Primates; Cercopithecidae.